Cyprinus carpio carpio is the source of this 1600-nucleotide long non-coding RNA. NCBI's taxonomy places the organism in Eukaryota, Metazoa, Chordata, Actinopteri, Cypriniformes, Cyprinidae. The record is from Ensembl.
AAAGAAAAAGUUGCUGCAUUGAUUUAGAUAAUACAUUAGCACUGAGCCAAAGAGAGUCUGAUUGUCUUAGCAACUCUUAUAAAGACAUUUAUCUGCGAUUCUCUUUGAAAAUAUUCCUAUUAAGCCUGUGAGAAAAUCAUUCCCUGUAGUGUCCACUAUCUAAAUCUAUGAUGUCUAUGUUUUUUGUGUUGCACAGCAGAUAAAAGGCAUAGUGAAUGAGUCUGAAGUGAACAGGGCUGGAAUUAGUAAGCUUUAUGUGUCUGAAUUGAGUUUUUAAUUAUUCACAGCCUGCUACUGAGAGAGAAACAUGUUGAAUUCACAUUGUCAGCGGCCCCUUUGUUUUUUAUGCGUGUGAGAGACAAACAAAACAUGAGUGAAAUGUUCAACUAAUCCAAAGAAGAUUCCAGAGAAAACAUCUGUCGACGUUCAAGGCUUAAAAAGAGGUUUAUCUGCUAAACGUUGUGCGUGUGUUUUGCUUUGAAUCAAAUCGCGUCACAAUUCAUUAGACGGCGAAUCAAACGAAGCUUGUGCAGUGAAGCGCGAGCUCACUCACCGGCUCGUUCCGGAGUCCUGGGAAUCCGGAGUUAUAAAAAUAUCACAUAUUGGUAUGCUGCGCAGACAGAUCCAGGUAUAAUUUAAGAUGUGCACUCUCAGUAUUCACUGACAUCAGCCCUCCCACAUUCCCAAAGGUCUCUCGCUCUUCUGUGGAAAGUCGCGAGCGCACAUUCACGUGGCGGUGUGCUCUAGUUACCACAGCAACCGGGCCGAGGCAGUUUAUUGUAUAUUCCGCGCACAGUUCCCGACUCCUCCGUCCUCAACAAGUCAAAGACACUUUUCCCCCGUUUAAUUCUGUACUAAAACCACGAAAAGAGUUAUUUUCGCCAUUGGACGCAUCUGGAAUCUCAUAGACGAGCGUCAAUCCAAAAACACCAGCCUCCUCAAUGUAAACAACAACGAUGACGAUGCCACAAAGUGGUUCAGCUGGAGGAGUGUGUAUGCUGUCAGAAGUUGAAACGGAUGUGUAGAGUCACUGAGAUCGAGUCGCAAGCGGGGUUCUGAGGCGUGAACUGCCGGUCACACUGGCUGAUGAAGGCAAUUAGAGGUUUGCCAAAUGUGUCACGUUGCUCUGACAAGGCUGACCUAUCUGGAAGACUCAUAAUUGGGAUGUCAAGUGGAGGUAAAAUAAGCUCAACAGUUAAGGAAAGUUCUACUGAACUUCUAUACUUCUACAUUUAGAUUGAAGUAUCAAAUGUCUGAGAAGAAUAUGUGGCCUUUUAGGAGUGUUUAAUUUCUAAAAGUCCACAGGGCCUUAUUUUUUUAUUUUUUCAACUAGCCUACUAGAAUAGAAUAACCUUUUGUAGUUCCCCAAAGAACCUUUCAGUGAACAUCCUUUUUUUUUUCUCUCAGUUUGAAGAACACUUUUAAAAAUCUAAUGAACCUUUGUCCACUAUAAAGAACCUUUUGUUGAUGUUUUAGGUUCUCCAUGGAACCAAAUAUGCAAAUAAAGAACCUUUAUUUUAAGUGUACAUUGAAUAUUAUUUUCACAUUUUUUCCAUCAUUUUACAAAAUUAGACAUCAGCUUGAUUGGAAAUUAUGGAUA